This 470-nucleotide ribosomal RNA is filed under the name uncultured bacterium. RNAcentral's name for it is "bacterial SSU rRNA". It matches the Rfam family "Bacterial small subunit ribosomal RNA", at positions 26 to 518 of the family's 1533-position model. The record is from RNAcentral.
AGGACGAACGCUGGCGGCGUGCUUAACACAUGCAAGUUGAACGGUAUGACAUGGAAGCUUGCUGAAGUGUCAUAUAGUAGCGGACGGGUGAGUAAUGCAUGAGAAGCUGCCAUUGGGAGGGGGACAACAGUUGGAAACGGCUGCUAAUACCCCGUAUGCCGGAGGGUGAAAGGGAGUAAUCCGCCCGAUGAGGUGCUCAUGUCCUAUCAGCUGGUUGGUGGGGUAACGGCCUACCAAGGCGACGACGGGUAGCCGGCCUGAGAGGGUGAACGGCCACACUGGAACUGAGAUACGGUCCAGACUCCUACGGGAGGCAGCAGUGGGGAAUAUUGGGCAAAUGGGGGCAACCCUGACCCAGCGACGCCGCGUGGGGGAAGACGGCCUUCGGGUUGUAAACCUCUUUUGUACGGGAAGAAGGAAGUGACGGUACUGUACGAAUAAGUCCCGGCUAACUACGUGCCAGCAGCCGC